UUCAGAGCACACAGUGCAUUGACUGGUCAUAAGCCAAACUUCCACGACGUGGACAUCUUGGCUCAAGAGAACAACUACAGACGAUGAUUCACUCUCGAGAUGUUGCAGUUCAUGGACUUACCAUCCGACGAGAGAAUGAAUUUCAAAAAAGACGAAGAAAGCUGCGCGAAGGUAUUUCGCCACACAGUCAAAAAGCGCAGCAGAAGAGAACACUCAGUUGACAACAGACAAUAGUUCGUGUAACAACUCAUUAAAUACGGAGCCUACCGAAAUUUUGGAAUGAAAUAAAAGAAAAAAACAUUAAAUUUUUGUGCUUUCAUAGAUGCAUACGCUCACAAUGCAGCUACUAAGUGUACCAAGCUCGAUAAUCGAGGAUUUUUACAAUGGAAAAGGAAAACCUGAGAUCACCACACACACACACCAACCAAUAUGGUACGCUUUUCGUCAUUUGUUUAGAAUAACUCAUCGGCCCUAUUAGGUGUGGAGUCUUCAAGGGCCAUACAUUGGGGGUCGGAAAUGGAUAUUUCGAUGUGUUGCAAACGGAAUGACAAAAUGAAAAUGCCCCCAUGCUUCGGCGGUGGAUAUAAAAAUUAGCUG
Stomoxys calcitrans (stable fly) is the source of this 597-nucleotide long non-coding RNA. RefSeq lists it as uncharacterized. The transcript has 4 exons. The record is from RefSeq and is a predicted model, not a curated record. NCBI's taxonomy places the organism in Eukaryota, Metazoa, Arthropoda, Insecta, Diptera, Muscidae.